CUACGGGCGGCUGCAGUGGGGAAUAUUGCACAAUGGAGGAAACUCUGAUGCAGCAACGCCGCGUGGAGGAUGACACUUUUCGGAGCGUAAACUCCUUUUAUAUAGGAAGAAGAUGACGGUACUAUAUGAAUAAGCGCCGGCUAACUCCGUGCCAGCAGCCGCGGUAAUACGGAGGGCGCAAGCGUUACUCGGAAUCACUGGGCGUAAAGAGCGUGUAGGCGGAUUAAAAAGUCAGAAGUGAAAUCCUAUAGCUUAACUAUAGAACUGCUUCUGAGACUCUUAAUCUAGAAUAUGGGAGAGGUAGAUGGAAUUUCUGGUGUAGGGGUAAAAUCCGUAGAGAUCAGAAGGAAUACCGAUUGCGAAGGCGACCUACUAGAACAUUAUUGACGCUGAGACGCGAAAGCGUGGGAGCAAACAGGAUUAGAUACCCUCGUAGUC
Molecule: ribosomal RNA, 438 nt
Filed under: uncultured bacterium
Lineage: Bacteria
Description: partial 16S ribosomal RNA
Rfam family: Bacterial small subunit ribosomal RNA
Source: RNAcentral